RNAcentral lists this long non-coding RNA (321 nucleotides) under Setaria italica (foxtail millet). RNAcentral describes it as "long non-coding RNA (SITA_LNC000771)". The record is from RNAcentral. Lineage: Eukaryota; Viridiplantae; Streptophyta; Magnoliopsida; Poales; Poaceae.
AUAUCAUUGGGCAUUUUCUGCUCCUAUUCCUCAUCAGCCGCUUAAUCAAUUGCCCAUACACUCGUACAGUUAGCAAAGAGUGACUCCUAAAAAACCGAAUGCACCCUGAGACUGUUGCAUGCUAACAAGAGGGUGCAGGUGUAGUCAGUUAGCCACUAGCCAGGACUGUGCGUGUGGUCUUGGAUGCUGGUUGACACCAACCUGGUAACGGCCUUUCUGAACUGUAUGGUUGUUGGAGGCUUGGAGCAUUGCAUUGCUGGUGACGUUUUUUUGUUUUUUUUGUUUUGGGGGGGUAGAGCCCGCUGGUUUCAUUGAGGAAAU